Molecule: ribosomal RNA, 884 nt
Filed under: uncultured soil bacterium
Lineage: Bacteria
Description: bacterial SSU rRNA
Rfam family: Bacterial small subunit ribosomal RNA
Source: RNAcentral
UAAUAGUAGCAAUACGGUACUGGCGCACGGCGCACGGGUGCGUAACACGUGGGUAAUCUGCCCUCUGAUGGGGAAUAACUCGCCGAAAGGCGAGCUAAUACCGCAUAACAUUCCUUGGACUCCGGUUUGAGGACUCAAAGCCGUAAGGCGUCGGAGGUGGAGCCCGCGCACGAUUAGCUAGUUGGUAGGGUAACGGCCUACCAAGGCUAUGAUCGUUAGCUGGUCUGAGAGGAUGGCCAGCCACACUGGAACUGAGACACGGUCCAGACUCCUACGGGAGGCAGCAGUGGGGAAUCUUGCGCAAUGGGCGAAAGCCUGACGCAGCGACGCCGCGUGGGGGAUGAAGCUUCUCGGAGUGUAAACCCCUUUCGACCGGGACGAAUACCUCGCAAGAGGGGUGACGGUACCGGUAUAAGAAGCCCCGGCUAACUACGUGCCAGCAGCCGCGGUAAGACGUAGGGGGCCAGCGUUGUUCGGAAUUACUGGGUGUAAAGGGUUCGUAGGCGGUGUGGCAAGUCGGGAGUGAAAUCUCUGGGCUCAACUCAGGGGCUGCUUCCGAAACUGCUGUGCUAGAGUGUGGGAGAGGCGCGUGGAAUUGCAGGUGUAGCGGUGAAAUGCGUAGAUAUCUGCAGGAACACCCGUGGCGAAAGCGGCGCGCUGGACCACUACUGACGCUGAGGAACGAAAGCUAGGGGAGCAAACAGGAUUAGAUACCCUGGUAGUCCUAGCCCUAAACGAUCAGGACUUGGGGUGCCACCCGUUCGGGUGUCGUCCCGGAGCUAACGCGUUAAGUCCUGCACCUGGGGAGUACGGUCGCAAGACUGAAACUCAAAGGAAUUGACGGGGGCCCGCACAAGCGGUGGAACAUGUGGUUCAAUUCGACG